CUACGUAGGGUGCGAGCGUUGUCCGGAAUUACUGGGCGUAAAGAGCUCGUAGGUGGUUUGUCGCGUCGUCUGUGAAAUUCCGGGGCUUAACUCCGGGCGUGCAGGCGAUACGGGCAUAACUUGAGUACUGUAGGGGAGACUGGAAUUCCUGGUGUAGCGGUGAAAUGCGCAGAUAUCAGGAGGAACACCGGUGGCGAAGGCGGGUCUCUGGGCAGUAACUGACGCUGAGGAGCGAAAGCAUGGGUAGCGAACAGGAUUAGAUACCCUGGUAGUCCAUGCCGUAAACGGUGGGCGCUAGGUGUAGGGGUCUUCCACGACUUCUGUGCCGUAGCUAACGCAUUAAGCGCCCCGCCUGGGGAGUACGGCCGCAAGGCUAAAACUCAAAUGAAUUGACGGGG
This 398-nucleotide ribosomal RNA is filed under the name uncultured bacterium. RNAcentral describes it as "partial 16S ribosomal RNA". It matches the Rfam family "Bacterial small subunit ribosomal RNA", at positions 523 to 918 of the family's 1533-position model. The record is from RNAcentral.